Molecule: ribosomal RNA, 1401 nt
Filed under: Neocucumis proteus
Lineage: Eukaryota; Metazoa; Echinodermata; Holothuroidea; Dendrochirotida; Cucumariidae
Description: 16S ribosomal RNA
Rfam family: Bacterial large subunit ribosomal RNA
Source: RNAcentral
AUAAAUCUUUACCCCCCCCCUUUUUUACCAAAUUUUUACUACUUAAACUAUCUAAAUCAAAAAGUACUACAAAGGAAAAGUGAAAUAUAAUAAAAACCUAAAGAAAGAAAAGGAAAAUAAUGUACCUUCAGUAUUAUGGUUUUACAAGAAUAUAUAGAAAAAAACUUUCUUAACCCGAAAUUUGGAGAGCUAACCUUUUUCUCCCUUCUAGAGGGUAUAACUCACUGUUGCAAGAGUGAAGAUAAAAGAAAAGGUUAGAAGUGAAACGCUUAACGAUCCAAAAGAUAGCUGGUUUUCUAAGAAAAGAGUCUUAGCUCUCUUUCCAAAUUAAAACAACCUUAAUUAUCUUUAAGAAAAAACUCCACCAAGGAAAGAAGAGAGAAGAAGACAAGUUCUUCUCUCCAUAGGGAAACAACCCAACAUAAAGGAAAAUUCCUAAAGAGAAAAUUUUUUGUAGGCCUAAAAGCGGCCACCAAAAGAAAGCGUUAAAGCUCAAAUCUUAUUCCCUCUAUAAAUUUAUAAAACAACAUAAUCCUUAUCUCACGAGUAUUAGAAAAAAAUAAUGUAAAAACUAGUAAAACUUUAUUAAUGGAACCCUGAAUAAACAUAUAAUUAACCAAGAAAAAAAAUACCAAGAAAAACAAAAAAGUUCAUUCAACCCAGAAAAUAACUAAACAAUAAAAAAGGAAAGAAGGAACUAGGCAAACUAAGAAGAUGACUGUUUACCAAAAACAUAGCUCCUUGAAUACAUAAGGAGUAAAGCCUGCCCAGUGGAGAUUACUCUCAACGGCCGCGGUAUCUUGACCGUGCAAAGGUAGCAUAAUCAUUUGUCUCUUAAAUAGGGACUAGAAUGAACGGCACCACAUCUCCUACCUGUCUCCUUUCCUUUACUUCUAAACUUCUAUUAACGUGAAGAAGCGUUAAUUUUCAAGAAAGACGAGAAGACCCUGUCGAGCUUCAGCUCUAAAGAAAAAUAUCUCAUCUAAAAGAAAAAAUUCUCUUUCUAAAAAGCUUUGGUUGGGGUAACCAUGGAGAAUAAUUAUCCUCCAGCAUAAACAAAGAUAUAUCAUCACCUAAAAACUUUGAACCAAUACAAUUGAAAAUCAGAAAAAGUUACCGCAGGGAUAACAGCGUUAUCUUCUUUAAGAGCCCUCAUUGACAAGAAGGAUUGCGACCUCGAUGUUGGAUUGGGGUAACCAAAGGGUGCAGCAGCUCUUAUCAGGUUGGACUGUUCGUCCACUAACCCCCCACAUGAUCUGAGUUCAGACCGACGUGAGUCAGGUCAGCUUCUAUCUUCUUUUUACACUCCUUCUUCAGUACGAAAGGACCAAGAAGAAAUUUCUAAUUAAUAUCUUAAAGAAAUAUUCUUACUUCAUUACUUUUACCCUUAAAACAAGGUAU